CCCGGGCCUUGUACACACCGCCCGUCACACCACGAAAGCGAGCAACACCCGAAGCCGGUGGCCUAACCGCAAGGAGGGAGCCGUCGAAGGUGGGGCCCAUGAUUGGGGUG
This 110-nucleotide ribosomal RNA is filed under the name uncultured bacterium. RNAcentral's name for it is "partial 16S ribosomal RNA". It matches the Rfam family "Bacterial small subunit ribosomal RNA", at positions 1373 to 1482 of the family's 1533-position model. The record is from RNAcentral.